This is a long non-coding RNA of Amphiprion ocellaris (clown anemonefish), 704 nucleotides long. The record is from Ensembl. Lineage: Eukaryota; Metazoa; Chordata; Actinopteri; Pomacentridae.
UGAUCAAAUAAAGUGUUAGCUCACUUUUCUUACUUCCUCAUUCACAUGAAGUGGUUGGUUGUCAGUGAUUAUAUAAAGACCUGUUGUUUUCACACUCUUCAGUGGAUCAGCCAUGGACAAAGGUUUGCUGCUGGUUCUGUUGUGUCUGCAGGUCGUCCUGCUCACCACAGUCUUCACUUCUGCUGAUGCAGCCGCUCUGCUGAGAGAUGAUCAGCAUCAACAACCUGUUGAUCCAAUCAGAAGUCUGCAGCAAGUGAAAAAAGGAGGACAGACGGAGCAGAAACUUCCAUACUGGAUAUUCUGUGGGAGGAGACGAGGAGGAUGCACUUUGACAGGACGUGUGCAACCUCCUGAACCAUCUUUUGACCACAUCAAGUCACACUCAAUAGACAUCUUGAGUCAAGCUCUGCAGGAAGUGCCAUUAGAUGCAAAAGACAGAAAAUGAAUGAAGAUAAUUGUAAUGCUUACAAAUCAAUGCAAGUGCUUUUUAUCAGAAAUAAAAGAUUUCAAAUCAGAUAUUGUGUUUUUCUAUCUUUCUUUUUUUUAACACCUCACAGUUGUGGAUGGUGACCAAAACAAACAGGACUCGCUGUCUUCUGACUGAAUCCUGCAAAAUCUUUCAUAUUACAAAGAGUGACAUUGUGCAAAAUAGGUUGAUUUUGUACCUCAGUUCAAUAUUCUCUAUAACCGAGGGUGAUAUGAAG